This 1235-nucleotide ribosomal RNA is filed under the name Acarospora clauzadeana. Its description in RNAcentral is "eukaryotic LSU rRNA". It matches the Rfam family "Eukaryotic large subunit ribosomal RNA", at positions 103 to 1357 of the family's 3401-position model. Lineage: Eukaryota; Fungi; Ascomycota; Lecanoromycetes; Acarosporales; Acarosporaceae. The record is from RNAcentral.
AACAGCUCAAAUUUGAAAUCCGACCCCUGCGGGGUCCGAGUUGUAAUUUGCAGAGGAUGCUUCGGGGACGGUUCCGCUCUAAGUUCCUUGGAACAGGAUGUCGCAGAGGGUGAGAAUCCCGUAUGUGAUCGGCCACCAUGCCCGGGUGAAGCUCCUUCGACGAGUCGAGUUGUUUGGGAAUGCAGCUCCAAAUGGGUGGUAAAUUUCAUCUAAAGCUAAAUACCGGCCAGAGACCGAUAGCGCACAAGUAGAGUGAUCGAAAGAUGAAAAGCACUUUGGAAAGAGAGUCAAACAGUACGUGAAAUUGUUGAAAGGGAAGCGCUUGCGACCAGACUUGCCCGUGGGUGAUCAGCCGGUAUUCGUACCGGUGCACUCGCCCGCGGUCAGGCCAGCAUCGGUUCGGGUGGCUGGACAAAGUCCGCUGGAAUGUAGCUCCUCUCGGGGAGUGUUAUAGCCAGCGGUGCCAUGCAGCCCGCCCGGGCCGAGGACCGCGCUUCGGCUAGGAUGCUGGCGUAAUGGUCGCAAGCGACCCGUCUUGAAACACGGACCAAGGAGUCUAACAUCUAUGCGAGUGUUUGGGUGUCAGACCCAUGCGCGUAAUGAAAGUGAACGCAGGUGGCAACCCUCCACGGGUGCACCAUCGACCGAUCCUGAUGUCUUCGGAUGGAUUUGAGUACGAGCAUAGCUGUUGGGACCCGAAAGAUGGUGAACUAUGCCUGAAUAGGGUGAAGCCAGAGGAAACUCUGGUGGAGGCUCGCAGCGGUUCUGACGUGCAAAUCGAUCGUCAAAUUUGGGUAUAGGGGCGAAAGACUAAUCGAACCAUCUAGUAGCUGGUUCCUGCCGAAGUUUCCCUCAGGAUAGCAGUAACGUUUUCAGUUUUAUGAGGUAAAGCGAAUGAUUAGAGGCCUGGGGGUUGCAAUAACCUUCACCUAUUCUCAAACUUUAAAUAUGUAAGAAGUCCUUGUUACUUGGUUGAACGUGGACAUUUGAAUGUACCGUUACUAGUGGGCCAUUUUUGGUAAGCAGAACUGGCGAUGCGGGAUGAACCGAACGUGAGGUUAAGGUGCCGGAAUGUACGCUCAUCAGACACCACAAAAGGUGUUGAUUCAUCUAGACAGCCGGACGGUGGCCAUGGAAGUCGGAAUCCGCCAAGGAGUGUGUAACAACUCACCGGCCGAAUGAAUCAGCCCUGAAAAUGGAUGGCGCUCAAGCGUGCUACCCAUACCUCACCGCCA